GCUGGUUUACCAGUCCGAGUUGUAGUUUAAAGAAGCGUUUUCGGUGGCAGGCCGGGUAUAAAUCCUUUGGAACAGGGUAUCAUAGAGGGUGAGAAUCCCGUCUUUGACUCGGCUGAUGUUACUAUGUGAUACGUUUUCAAAGAGUCGAGUUGUUUGGGAAUGCAGCUCAAAAUGGGUGGUAAAUUUCAUCUAAGGCUAAAUAUUGGCGAGAGACCGAUAGCGAACAAGUACCGUGAGGGAAAGAUGAAAAGAACUUUGAAAAGAGAGUUAAACAGUGCGUGAAAUUGUUGAAAGGGAAACGUUUGACACCAGCUAUGUAGGCGGAAAAUCAGUCAAGCGCAGUGAGGGGCUGGUGUUUGUCCGGACCGCAAGGCCGGCGGAUAUCUCAUCUUUGCUGUGGGUGAUGCACUUUUUCGUUCGCAGGUCAACAUCAGUUUCGCUUGCUGGACAAAACCCCGAGAGAAGGUAGCAGCUUUGGCUGUGUUAUAGCUCUGGGGCGAUACAGUGGGUGGGACUGAGGAUUCGCAGUGUGUGCUCUCGGGCAAGGCUGACUGGGUGCUCUGGGGUCGUUUGGCGUACAAUGCUUGCAUUUUGCGUCUUGUCUUCUUCAGACUCGCUUAGUUCGGCUCUUCCACGCUUAGGAUGUUGACUUAAUGGUUUUAAAACGACCCGUCUUGAAAAC
Molecule: ribosomal RNA, 682 nt
Filed under: Mortierella sp. JCM 28527
Lineage: Eukaryota; Fungi; Mortierellomycota; Mortierellomycetes; Mortierellales; Mortierellaceae
Description: eukaryotic LSU rRNA
Rfam family: Eukaryotic large subunit ribosomal RNA
Source: RNAcentral